Molecule: long non-coding RNA, 539 nt
Organism: Xenia sp. Carnegie-2017
Lineage: Eukaryota; Metazoa; Cnidaria; Anthozoa; Malacalcyonacea; Xeniidae
Exons: 3
Source: RefSeq, a predicted model, not a curated record
UCAAAGAUACGAAAAAGGGUGAAAAAUGUCCAAACAAAGGGGAUAGUAACAGCAUUGCUGAAAGAUAUUCUUGAUCCUGACAAAAUAUUGAAUUAUGUUGAUUGCCAUGCUAAAAAAAGAGACUGUAAUGAAGGUGGAAAAAUAAGGAGUUACUAUCGCAAGGGAAGUGCUGCCCCUCCACCAAGUAAGGUAAAAGAGUUUGGAAACUGCUAUUGCGUGUUUUCCAUCAUUUAUCAUCUGCCAUAAACAAUACAAUAAUGAAUGGUAAAAAUAAAAAUACAGCAAGAAACCGCAACAACUCGUAUACUUUGUCAUUGCAUAAAGACAAGCUAAUUGUGUCAUCUUUUAUUUUCAAAUUGUCAUAUAAAUCAAUUUAUAGAAGUAGAUGCAAGAAGUAACACUGUAUGUAUGUAUAAUUAUGCUAAUUUCAAAAUGGAAUAAUUGGAUGAACAGUUUUCAAAGCUCAUUUUACAAAAAUUUGCAUAUUGUCAUUUAGAACUCGGCCAAUAACAAUUAAAUCAUGUUAACCGGAGCUUAAA